RNAcentral lists this ribosomal RNA (253 nucleotides) under uncultured bacterium. RNAcentral describes it as "partial 16S ribosomal RNA". It matches the Rfam family "Bacterial small subunit ribosomal RNA", at positions 524 to 776 of the family's 1533-position model. The record is from RNAcentral.
UACGAAGGGGGCUAGCGUUGCUCGGAAUCACUGGGCGUAAAGCGCACGUAGGCGGAUUGCUAAGUCAGGGGUGAAAUCCUGGAGCUCAACUCCAGAACUGCCUUUGAUACUGGCGAUCUCGAGUCCGGGAGAGGUGAGUGGAACUGCGAGUGUAGAGGUGAAAUUCGUAGAUAUUCGCAAGAACACCAGUGGCGAAGGCGAAUCCCUGGAAAAUACCUGACACUGAGGCACGAAAGCUAGGGGAGCAAACAGG